ACGUAGGGGGCGAGCGUUAUUCGGAAUUACUGGGCGUAAAGGGUGUGUAGGUGGUCCUUUAAGUCGGGUGUCAAAGUCCAGUGCUCAACGCUGGGAGUGCAAGCGAAACUGAAGGACUUGAGGGCAGGAGAGGUGAGCGGAAUUCCCGGUGUAGCGGUGAAAUGCGUAGAGAUCAGGAGGAACACCAGUGGCGAAGGCGGCUUACUGGACAGUAUCUGACGCUGAGGUACGAAAGCGUGGGGAGCAAACAG
Molecule: ribosomal RNA, 251 nt
Filed under: uncultured prokaryote
Description: partial 16S rRNA
Rfam family: Bacterial small subunit ribosomal RNA
Source: RNAcentral